RNAcentral lists this small nucleolar RNA (95 nucleotides) under Zostera marina. Lineage: Eukaryota; Viridiplantae; Streptophyta; Magnoliopsida; Alismatales; Zosteraceae. The record is from RNAcentral.
CGUGGGCGGGUGAUGAAUCUUUAUAUGAUCAAAUGGGUAAUUUGCAUCUGAUGCUUUGCUGUGAUGUUUUCAACCUUGGAGAGCUGACGUCCUAG